UUGGGAAUUUAAUUAAAUUAUACCAUAAGAUAAACAAAGUUAGUCAAACAACAUGAUAGAAAUGAUAAGAGGGGAAAUAUUAAUUUUGGGCCCUUGGGCCCAAAUCCUAUCCUAAAUCUAAAAAAAUCUGGUAUACAUUAGAUGUAUACUGUUGUAUCUCGGCCCAUUUUGUGUAUAUUGGGUUGUAUACCGAAUGUAUACAGCCUACUACAAACUCCAGCACCUGUAUUUUAAAUUUUGGACCUAUAUAUUAAUAUUCUCCAUGUAUACUAGUGUAUACUACUGUAUACAACAAGUAUACAACCCUUUUCGGACUUUUCGGGGUCUGUAAAUCCGAUUUUCAGCAUUAUUUGUUGCUUUCAACCUGUUCAUCCGCUUCACGAUUUGCAAUGGGGGGCUGACUCGAGGGACAAAGAGGAUUUGGGGACUUUAUGGCCCAUUUUGAAAUGCAUAGGCGAAUGAAUUUGGGUCCAACUCGGACUCCAUACGGGUUCACAUGUAGCAAAAUGAGAACAAAAAAUUAGCACUCGUAUAAGUCAACAUCCCAGAAUUAUAUUAACAAAUAUUGGGAAUAAGUGAAACUAGACAAAAUCGACCAAAGGUUAAAAUCAUACUAAGUCAUGAAUCACUGCCAAACAUUACUUUGUGGAUCAAAAAUUAAAGGAAAAGAAACAAAUUAUACAAUUUAGAAGACGACUCAUUUUGCAAAUCAUGGACCAUGUAUUCUAUGUUUAAGAAUCUUUGUGAACUAAAAGAAACAAAUGAGAUUACUGCGAUUUAACCAACAAAACAACAUGCUGGAAAUUUGAUUUCUAAGCCUCAAAAUAUUAGACAAUUAGCAGAAACUUAAAUGACCCAAAUUGAAG
Molecule: long non-coding RNA, 866 nt
Filed under: Solanum tuberosum (potato)
Lineage: Eukaryota; Viridiplantae; Streptophyta; Magnoliopsida; Solanales; Solanaceae
Description: long non-coding RNA (STUB_LNC001340)
Source: RNAcentral